This 704-nucleotide long non-coding RNA is filed under the name Vulpes vulpes (red fox). RNAcentral's name for it is "lncRNA (ENSVVUG00000019961.1)". Lineage: Eukaryota; Metazoa; Chordata; Mammalia; Carnivora; Canidae. The record is from RNAcentral.
UCUGGCUGUGUGGCCUCAAGCAAGUCAUUUACCCUUUCUGAAUUUCUGUUUCCUUAUCCAUAAGAAUGAAAACAACCAUCACCAAAAAUGUGUGAGAGCUUAAUUGGUAAGUGAUGUUGUUAAACAAAUGUUCUUUGGAUCCGAACUGGAGGAAAAUCAACCUCAGGAGACAAAAUGGUAUUGUCUUUGAAGAUAUCCACAUAUAAAGGACUCUUCACCCCACUGACAGCCCUGAAGAUGAGGAACAUAAAUCUGCCCAUGGAGUCUCCAUCUGACCUCCUCAAAGGUUCCCACUGUUGUCAGGAUAUCACCUGGACCUCCACAGGUGGUAUGGUCUGGGCCUACCUUUCCAGCCAUGUUUCCCACCUCUCCCCACACUUCAAGUUGGAAACCUUCAUCCUUCAAAUGAGUCAACCAGUUUUCUACCCUCCCUCAUGUUUUGCCUGCCUCUGUCUCUGCACAUACCAUUUCUUUUCCCUAGAGCAGCGCUAUCCAAUAGAAAUACAACUAAAACAAGGCACAAAUAGGAGAGUCACAUAUGUGAUUUUAAAUUUUGUGGAGCAAAAUUUUAUGGCUCAGUCCAUUAAACAUCUGACUCUUGAUUUCAGCUCAGGUCAUGAUGUCUGCAUCCUAAGAUCGAGCCCGACAUCAGGUUCUGCAUUGAGCAUGAAGCCUGCUUAAGAUCCUCCCCUUCUCCCCCCUCC